UACCCGCUGAACUUAAGCAUAUCAAUAAGCGGAGGAAAAGAAACUAACAAGGAUUCCCCUAGUAACUGCGAGUGAAGCGGGAAGAGCUCAAAUUUAAAAUCUGGCGUGCCUCCGGUCGUCCGAGUUGUAGUCUGGAGAAGCGUUUUCCGUGUUGGACCGUGUAUAAGUCUCUUGGAACAGGGCGUCAUAGAGGGUGAGAAUCCCGUCUUUGACACGGACUACCAAUGCUUUGUGAUGCGCUCUCAAAGAGUCGAGUUGUUUGGGAAUGCAGCUCAAAAUGGGUGGUAAAUUCCAUCUAAAGCUAAAUAUAGGCAAAAGACCGAUAGCGAACAAGUACCGUGAGGGAAAGAUGAAAAGCACUUUGGAAAGAGAGUUAAACAGUACGUGAAAUUGCUGAAAGGGAAACGCUUGAAGUCAGUCAUGUCUGCCAGGACUCAUCCUUGCUUCUGCUUGGUGCACUUUCUGGUUUGAUGGGCCAACAUCAAUUUUGACCGUUGGAGAAAGGCUUUGGGAAUGUGGCACCUUCGGGUGUGUUAUAGCCCUUUGUCGUAUACAACGGUUGGGAUCGAGGACCGCAGCACGCCUUUAUGGCCGGGGUUCGCCCACGCACGUGCUUAUGAUGUUGGCAUAAUGGCUUUAAACGACCCGUCUUG
This 653-nucleotide ribosomal RNA is filed under the name Tomentella sp. RNAcentral describes it as "LSU rRNA". It matches the Rfam family "Eukaryotic large subunit ribosomal RNA", at positions 22 to 656 of the family's 3401-position model. The record is from RNAcentral. Lineage: Eukaryota; Fungi; Basidiomycota; Agaricomycetes; Thelephorales; Thelephoraceae.